AUGGCGGCAGAGGACCAGCCUGAGCCUAUUAAUCAGCCUAAGGUAAGUGCUGCUUCCAUCUCAUAUUUUAAUCUCCUCCUUUCUGCUGUGUUAAAGAAAUUAUAUCUGUGGCUUAAAUAACAUUUAGAAAUGAAAUUGUUUGCCAAGUGAAUGAGACAAUCAAACCAGUCGUUUAGAGUUGGGGAUUAAAUAUGAAUCUCAUUUACCUUUAUUAUCCGUGCAUUUCUCGCUAAUCAUCAUAACUCAGACUAUUUAAACUUCAUUGAAAAUGUAGCCAGUAAUGGAGUGCCAUUAAUAUUUGUUUGUGAUGAUUCCAGCCUGAGCUGAGCAAAUCUUAAGAAAGCCAGCCCAUCUUCUCUUGUGUUUGGGAAGCAGGGAGAAGCCAAGUUGGAGGAUCUGGCCUGCCCUGCUUCAGUGGCUUCAUGCACAUUCAGAUUACAAUUGCCAACUUUCUUCCCAAGCAUCUCUUCCUUGCAAAAGGGUAUCAGUAGAACGAAGCUUUCCAAGAGAAAAAUGCUCCAAUGCCUGCCUCCAUGUUGAAGUAUCUUUAAGAGUCAGCUUUCUAGCAAUAAAUGCCACCAAGCUAGUUAACUGAGACCACCAACUGCAGAAGGAUUUCCAGUUGGAAAUUUCAUGGAGGCAGACUCCUCCCGCCCCCACCUUGAGCCCUUUUAAUCUCAUCACCCAUUCCCUCCAAUGUGGUAGGAAGAGACUGGGUGGCAAGUGUAUUUAAGACUCCAAGGAAAAGGGCUGUAAAGUCAACCUUGGUAACUUAACUGAAACAGUAUAUGUGUAAAUCCAUCGAAAAUCCCUGGCCUUUUACAACUCCUGUCCCAAUGGAAAUCAGAUCAUAGGACUAUUUACAAGAGACCACGAUUCAUUUGGAUAAAGACCCAUGACAGCACAGCCCAGGAUUAUUUGAAAUUUUAGUAACCUAAGCUUUAAAAAUAUUCUAAAAGCAAAAUAAUGAGGGGCAGGUAAUUGCCACGAGCUAAUUACUUAUGAUAUUUCAUAUACAUAAUCGGCGAACAAUCUCCAUAAAUGUCAGCUCAUGGCACUUUGGCAAUCACUUGUAAUUUUUAUUGUUUAAAGAAAUGUCAACAUUUCCAUUUUCCCCAACUUCAGUUAACCUGGGCCCUACCCACGGUUAAAUGGGCCCCCGGAAGAGCGCUUCACCCGGCCGUUUCAGAGCGUUCCACAAUUU
This 1204-nucleotide long non-coding RNA is filed under the name Lynx pardinus (Iberian lynx). The record is from RNAcentral. Lineage: Eukaryota; Metazoa; Chordata; Mammalia; Carnivora; Felidae.